This 253-nucleotide ribosomal RNA is filed under the name uncultured bacterium. Its description in RNAcentral is "partial 16S ribosomal RNA". It matches the Rfam family "Bacterial small subunit ribosomal RNA", at positions 524 to 776 of the family's 1533-position model. The record is from RNAcentral.
UACAGAGGAGCCAAGCGUUGUCCGGAUUGACUGGGCGUAAAGCGCACGCAGGCGGCACCGCGCGUGGGGUGUGAAAUCUGGCCGCUUAACGGCCAGGCGCCAUCCCAUACGGCGGAGCUGGAGUGAUGCAGAGGUCGGUGGAAUUCCUGGUGUAGCGGUGAAAUGCGCAGAUAUCAGGAGGAACACCAGCGGCGAAGGCGGCGCUCUGGGCCGGAACUGACGCUGAGGAGCGAAAGCGUGGGUAGCAAACAGG